This is a long non-coding RNA of Homo sapiens (human), 379 nucleotides long. The record is from Ensembl. NCBI's taxonomy places the organism in Eukaryota, Metazoa, Chordata, Mammalia, Primates, Hominidae.
GCUGCCCAGAGAGGUCUUUAAUCCAUGACUCCAAAGCAAGUCCCUGAGUCGCUGCACCCACAACUCACGAUCUCGGGGUCCGGCGUUAGUCUUCAGCACCGGGAUCUCAGACACAACACGUCGCGUGGCUUCAUCCGCCAUCUUGGACCAGGGCGCAAGAGAAACGCGGAAGUGGUGUUGCCUGUAGCUUACCUCAAGGCGCCGUCAUCUUUACUAUGGGAAGAUGAGACGUUGGGUUGCUGUAAGACCUCUUUUGAAUAAGAUCUUUGUUUUCUUGUCACCUAGUUACCCGCUUGUGAGUGCAUCGAGAAGAACAGAAUGUAAACAGAUUACUCCGUCCUAUAUAUGACACCUAUCAUUAAAAUCACCGCAUAAGGCA